UGUGUAACUAUUAGGUUUGUGUCUAAUUAAGCCAACCCACUCCAGUGCCUUUCCUGGAGCCUGGCGGACCCAGUGCAUCCAGUAAUCACUGAAGGUGAAUCCAGAGGCUGCACAGGAGAGUCUCAGGGACCCCCCAGGCUGCAUCAAGCCUCCCCCAGACUCCCCCAGCUGCACCUCACACUGAACACCUGCAAAUACAGAGAAUCCUAGUCAGCAAUGGUCACACAUAUUCAUUGUCUCCUCACUCACACCCAGUCCCGUAUUCAAGAUCUCUUAUUUUCAUAAAUUACACUUGCAAACUGUAGCAAAGAAAGCCUCUCUCAACACAAACUCCAUAAUUCUUCCCCAGAUUUCAGUUCUGAACACCAAAUAGAGUAUUUAUUAGCAGAGGGAGCUGAUAUUUGCCUGUCCUCCUGCUAUAUAUUAAGCUCUGGAGUGGAAGUCUCAGGUAGUGACCAUAGCAGAUGAGUGUGCUGGGGGAGUGACAAAUAAAUCAGCAAACAUAGGAGCAUGGAGUGUUUCACUAUGUUCACAAGCAGUGACUCUGGGAAGAUUUGAAAACCUCAACAGUGGGGAGCUGAUAACAGCUCUCCUGUUAUCACCACAGAGAAAUCUGAUGUGUCUUGAAAUUACUACCUUACAAUGCAAACAUUGUGUUUAGCUUUAUGUCAUCAUUCCCACAAGUCUAGGUUGGUUCCCAUAACCUGUUUGUCUGGGUGUCUUUCUGUUUGGGCUACUUCAUAAAUCUGUGUAUUUUAAACCAUCUCACUGAGAAAUCACUGGCAUAUAAUAAUACUAGGAUAAAUAUUGAGAUAUGUGCACAUCAGUGAAAAUAUUCCACAACCUUUGGAAUCAUUGAUCCCUGAUACCUAGGUCCUGUCAGGCAUCACAGCUUGGAGGCAUCACACCAUAAGAAGUCAGUGUAAACUGAUAACUCUAUAAUCUGACCAUUCCAGAAGGCUAAUUUUUUUUUUAAUUCCAUCCAGCAAUGAUGUUUCUCUUAUGGGGCAAGCUAGGGUUUCUAAUUGUUGAACCUGAGUCAAGGCUUGUCUAUGUCCAAGUUUGGUGGCAAUCUGCCUCAUGAAGAGUGGGUAGGUCUCCCAGAAUUUUCUGAUCAUCAAAUGUUCCUUAAUGCCGCCCCUCCCACUUUUGGUGCAGUGUUUUUCACUGCCACAUUUUGAAUCAUGGGGAUGAAAAAGAUGUCUUGUCUGAUGCUUGCCUGCCACACUGGGGAAAUCAUUGACCCAUGAUAUCA
Perognathus longimembris pacificus (Pacific pocket mouse) is the source of this 1255-nucleotide long non-coding RNA. RefSeq lists it as uncharacterized. The record is from RefSeq and is a predicted model, not a curated record. NCBI's taxonomy places the organism in Eukaryota, Metazoa, Chordata, Mammalia, Rodentia, Heteromyidae. The transcript has 3 exons.